This 581-nucleotide ribosomal RNA is filed under the name uncultured bacterium. Its description in RNAcentral is "bacterial SSU rRNA". It matches the Rfam family "Bacterial small subunit ribosomal RNA", at positions 875 to 1467 of the family's 1533-position model. The record is from RNAcentral.
GGGGAGUACGCCGGCAACGGUGAAACUCAAAGGAAUUGACGGGGGCCCGCACAAGCGGAGGAACAUGUGGUUUAAUUCGAUGAUACGCGAGGAACCCUACCCGGGCUUGAAUUGCAGAGGAAGGAUUUGGAGACAAUGACGCCCUUCGGGGUCUCUGUGAAGGUGCUGCAUGGUUGUCGUCAGCUCGUGCCGUGAGGUGUCGGCUUAAGUGCCAUAACGAGCGCAACCCCUCUCCUAGUUGCCAUCAGGUUAAGCUGGGCACUCUGGGGACACUGCCACCGUAAGGUGUGAGGAAGGUGGGGAUGACGUCAAAUCAGCACGGCCCUUACGUCCGGGGCUACACACGUGUUACAAUGGCAGGUACAGAGAGAUGGUCCUUUGCAAGACGGAUCAAAUCCUUAAAGCCUGUCUCAGUUCGGACUGGGGUCCGCAACCCGACCCCACGAAGUUGGAUUCGCUAGUAAUCGCGCAUCAGCCAUGGCGCGGUGAAUACGUUCCCGGGCCUUGUACACACCGCCCGUCAAGCCAUGAAAGCCGGGGCGCAUAAAGUCCGUGACCGUAAGGAGCGGCCUAGGGCGAAA